Molecule: ribosomal RNA, 274 nt
Filed under: uncultured bacterium
Lineage: Bacteria
Description: partial 16S ribosomal RNA
Rfam family: Bacterial small subunit ribosomal RNA
Source: RNAcentral
AUACGGAGGGAGCAAGCGUUAUUCGGAAUCACUGGGCGUAAAGGACGCGUAGGCGGGUUUGUAAGUCAGGUGUGAAAUCCUACAGCUCAACUGUAGGACUGCACUUGAAACUACAGACCUAGAGUAUGGAAGGGGCAGAUGGAAUUAGUGGUGUAGGGGUAAAAUCCGUAGAUAUCACUAGGAAUACCGAAAGCGAAGGCGAUCUGCUGGGACAUUACUGACGCUGAGGCGUGAAAGCGUGGGGAGCAAACAGGAUUAGAAACCCGGGUAGUCC